GUAGCUAUCGGCCUCUGUCUUUCUCUGGGGAAGGUUCUGGAAGGAGCUGCUGGGGUAGCGGCGGGGAGUCGGCUCCUGUAUCCGCCCCACAUGGUCCGGAUGGCGGUGAUCUCCCGGGAAAGGCCCCGCCCGGCUCAAUCCCCCUCCCCCUUAUUCCCCGGGACCCUCCCCGGGCCCAGAGGGCUCCCGUUUGAACUUUUCUCUCUUUGAAAUCCCGUUUUCAGAUCCCGGGUGGAAAUGUGGAGCUGGCGGUGCCGGGGCUCCGGCUGAAGGAUGACCCGAGUCUGGAGCGAGUGGGCGAUAAGACUAGAUCCUGUGAGAAGCACACCAUGAAUCACUACACCUGGUGUGCUCAACUGAAUUAUGAAAAUGCAAGAAGAAAUACAAGCCAGCAAUGUGCACAAAACUGUUGUCUGCACUACCUUGUUAUGGAUCGCUUGUGAACCCAUGAAACCAUAUCAAGUGCUGCAGGUGGUGAACAUAUUAACUUUGCUUUCAAGACCAAGUUUGACAUUUUCAAUAGUGUGCUUCCUUUUCUCCUGGCAAGUCUGUUUUUAAAAAAUAAAGCAAUGGCAAGCUCCAAUGUAUUUUCAUCAGAGACCACUAUAUUGGACAUGAGUGAAUUGGGCUGUCGAGUUUUUGAGAACACCUCCAUGGAAAGGCUGGAAUGAAUUGCAACAUAUUUCAAAUCUGACCUGGUUCCCCAGCAGAAUAUUUGAAAAAUGUGAAGUGCCUCUUAAGACUUGUAAAUAUGCAGUAAUUACUUGGAGGUUAUGUAGAAUAUAUUCAAAUAAAGAUAUUUAUUCAAAUUA
Chiloscyllium plagiosum (whitespotted bambooshark) is the source of this 812-nucleotide long non-coding RNA. RefSeq lists it as uncharacterized. NCBI's taxonomy places the organism in Eukaryota, Metazoa, Chordata, Chondrichthyes, Orectolobiformes, Hemiscylliidae. The record is from RefSeq and is a predicted model, not a curated record.